AAAGGAGGGACAACUCUCAAUUCUAGCUCUAGUUAUCCUUCCAGGGGAGUGACAGCUUUCAAGUAAGACUGCCAGCAAACACUACCUUCCUUCACAGCAAUGCCAUAAAAUGAAUGAGAGCCACAUACACACCUGGCUAUGAAUCAUCUAUCUGCAGCAUUUCCUACUGUUCUGGAAACACAAUUUUCUGCACCUUGAAAGGCAGAAAGCAUGAAAGAAAAGGAUCAGUUUAAACUUAAAAAUACGAGUCAAUGUGUGACCUUCCAAAGCCUCUCUCCUCACUGAUCUCACGCUAUGCUGGCACAGCGGGAGCUGAGCUCACCUCUCCACACAACUUCUGAUCCAGAAUCCUUCGUCACCGUGCAUAAGCUCCAAGUGGGAUGAAAGAUAGACCAAUAGAGAAAUGAGGGCACUGUACUGGUACAAGAAAUGUCUCUGGAGUCAUAAAUACA
This 452-nucleotide long non-coding RNA is filed under the name Gallus gallus (chicken). Its description in RNAcentral is "long non-coding RNA NONGGAT004587". Lineage: Eukaryota; Metazoa; Chordata; Aves; Galliformes; Phasianidae. The record is from RNAcentral.